AUACAUUUCUCGUCCUUUUGGCUAAGAUAAAGUGUAAUAUUUGUUCUUAUCAGUUUAAAAUAUAAUAUGUGGACCACAUGUUCACUUUGAUAUUAAAUUUAUUUUUUAUGGAUAUCAAAUAUGAUUGUGUGCCGUCGCAGCGCACAGACAUU
RNAcentral lists this small nuclear RNA (152 nucleotides) under Zea mays. Its description in RNAcentral is "U2 spliceosomal RNA". It matches the Rfam family "U2 spliceosomal RNA". From Rfam's summary of the family: U2 is a small nuclear RNA (snRNA) component of the spliceosome (involved in pre-mRNA splicing). Complementary binding between U2 snRNA (in an area lying towards the 5' end but 3' to hairpin I) and the branchpoint sequence (BPS) of the intron results the bulging out of an unpaired adenosine, on the BPS, which initiates a nucleophilic attack at the intronic 5' splice site, thus starting the first of two transesterification reactions that mediate splicing. Lineage: Eukaryota; Viridiplantae; Streptophyta; Magnoliopsida; Poales; Poaceae. The record is from Rfam by way of RNAcentral.